GAUGAACGCUGGCGGCGUGCUUAACACAUGCCAGUCGAACGGAAAGGCCGAAGCUUGCUUCGGUACUCGAGUGGCGAACGGGUGAGUAACACGUGGGUGAUCUGCCCUGUACUUCGGGAUAAGCUUGGGAAACUGGGUCUAAUACCGGAUAUGACGAUCUCUUGGAUGGGGUUGUGGAAAGCUUUUGCGGUAUGGGAUGAGCUCGCGGCCUAUCAGCUUGUUGGUGGGGUAAUGGUCUACCAAGGCGUCGACGGGUAGCCGGCCUGAGAGGGUGUACGGCCACAUUGGGACUGAGAUACGGCCCAGGCUCCUACGGGAGGCAGCAGUGGGGAAUAUUGCACAAUGGGCGCAAGCCUGAUGCAGCGACGCCGCGUGGGGGAUGACGGCCUUCGGGUUGUAAACUCCUUUCGCAAUCGACGAAGCCUUUUGGUGACGGUAGGUUGAGAAGAAGCACCGGCUAACUACGUG
RNAcentral lists this ribosomal RNA (468 nucleotides) under uncultured bacterium. RNAcentral describes it as "partial 16S ribosomal RNA". It matches the Rfam family "Bacterial small subunit ribosomal RNA", at positions 28 to 507 of the family's 1533-position model. The record is from RNAcentral.